GGAUGCGAUCAUACCAGCACUAAAGCACCGGAUCCCAUCAGAACUCCGAAGUUAAGCGUGCUUGGGAGAGAGUAGUACUAGGAUGGGUGACCUCCUGGGAAGUCCUCGUGUUGCAUUCC
This 119-nucleotide ribosomal RNA is filed under the name Triticum aestivum (bread wheat). The record is from RNAcentral. Lineage: Eukaryota; Viridiplantae; Streptophyta; Magnoliopsida; Poales; Poaceae. RNAcentral also lists the same sequence under 3 other names.